UACGGGGGGGGCAAGCGUUGUUCGGAAUUACUGGGCGUAAAGGGCUCGUAGGCGGCCAACUAAGUCGGAUGUGAAAUCCCCAGGCUCAACUUGGGAACUGCAUCCGAUACUGGAUGGCUUGAAUUCGGGAGAGGGAUGCAGAAUUCCAGGUGUAGCGGUGAAAUGCGUUGAUAUCAUCUGGAAUACCGGAGGCGAAGGCGGCUCACUGGGAGUUUUCUGACGCUGAGGAACGAAAGCCAGGGUAGCGAACGGG
This 253-nucleotide ribosomal RNA is filed under the name uncultured bacterium. RNAcentral's name for it is "partial 16S ribosomal RNA". It matches the Rfam family "Bacterial small subunit ribosomal RNA", at positions 524 to 776 of the family's 1533-position model. The record is from RNAcentral.